AUUAUUAUUAUUAUUAUUAUUAUGAUCAAAUGCAAUAUCAUCAAAUGUUGCAGUCGAUUGAGAAAUUCAUUGCAGUAGUAAGCAUAUAAAAAUGCUGGAAAGAACAAUAAGAAUAUCGGGAAAAGAAACUGAUCAUGUGUGAAAAGAUUAUAGAUUUCUGCACCCUUUUUUACAACACUUGAAUUCAAUUGAUUACAGAUUUUUCUUGAACAAAAGGUUAUACUGAUGCUAAUUUUUUCAAAAUCUCUCUUUAACAGCAGCGUGGGAUAUCAAGAAAUUCAAUCAAGGUAGAAGUGAAGUAAUUAAAACUUGGAAUGAGGAAAACUUUGCAGAAUCAUAGGGAAGUGUAAAGCAGUGGGCAAGAUAUUUCUGUAUAUAUUACUUUUUUCAUGGAAAGUGGGAACCAUUUCUUGAGGAUACUAAUUCCCAUAGUACUCUAUGUAUGAUCGAUAUUAUCUUCUCCUACAUCAGUGCAGUAUUUAUCCUAUGUUAUAUAUAUUAUUACUGUGGGCUACCUAUGAAUCAUCUUGCUGCAAAUAUACACUUGGCAGAUAACUUUAUCAGAAAUACAUAUAUAUUUGGAAAUGUUUCUGUGAUUUCUGCUGUAUAUGCAUGUAGUCA
This 621-nucleotide unclassified non-coding RNA is filed under the name Hevea brasiliensis (rubber tree). The record is from RNAcentral. Lineage: Eukaryota; Viridiplantae; Streptophyta; Magnoliopsida; Malpighiales; Euphorbiaceae.